GACGGAGGAUGCAAGCGUUAUCCGGAAUUAUUGGGCGUAAAGCGUCCGCAGGUGGCUGUUCAAGUCUGCUGUCAAAGCGCAGAGCUUAACUCUGUGCAGGCGGUGGAAACUGAAGAGCUAGAGUAUGGUAGGGGUAGAGGGAAUUCCCGGUGUAGCGGUGAAAUGCGUAGAUAUCGGGAAGAACACCAGUGGCGAAAGCGCUCUACUGGGCCAUAACUGACACUGAGGGACGAAAGCUAGGGGAGCGAAAGGG
This 253-nucleotide ribosomal RNA is filed under the name uncultured bacterium. RNAcentral describes it as "partial 16S ribosomal RNA". It matches the Rfam family "Bacterial small subunit ribosomal RNA", at positions 524 to 776 of the family's 1533-position model. The record is from RNAcentral.